CCAGAUUCUGCCCCAAAAGACUAGCUAAAGAGAAGCCUGGAUUAAUCGGAACCAGGUUGCCACCCAGAGGGAGAGGCAUGAACUGAGUGAUCAUAGAGAUAAAACAAGGGAAGUAGAACUGAAGGAUGGAGAGAAACCAGGACCUGACAAUUACUGGUGACAUCAUUUGAGCCCAAAUCCAGCCAUGUCUACAGACACUGAUAGCAGCAAGGGGCAGACAAAUGCCUGUGCAAAUGGGGCACAUCCCUGGUGAAAUACACCUUCAAGCUAAAAAACAACCUGAAGGCUGAAAGGCUGGACUCCUGGUCCUGGAUGAAACCCAGACCCAGAGUGAGAACUUCUGUUUGUGUUUGCCUGCCCUUUCCUGAUUGAUUCUUUCUGAAUAAUGCCUUUUAACCAAUCAAAUGUUGCCUUUCCAUUACUACCUAUGGCCUGCCCCUCCCCUAUUCUAAGCCCAUAAAAGCCCAAGACUCAGCCACAUUGGGGGUACUUUCCUGCCUUUUAGAGGGACCACCCCCAUGUUCCCUCUCCCUGGAAAGCUGUUUUGUCACUGAAUAAAACUCUCCACUUUGCCCACUCUUUGACUGUCAGUGUAUCUUCAUUCUUCUUGGACACUGGACAAGAACUCAGGAACUAGUGCACAAACCGGAGUCAGCCCGGGUAGGAUGAUUUGACAGAGCACCUCCUACAGCAGGUAGCAUGC
RNAcentral lists this long non-coding RNA (703 nucleotides) under Homo sapiens (human). Its description in RNAcentral is "HSALNT0070493". The record is from RNAcentral. Lineage: Eukaryota; Metazoa; Chordata; Mammalia; Primates; Hominidae.